UGGGGCGUCGCCAAGCGGUAAGGCAGCGGUUUUUGGAGCCGCCAUUCGUAGGUUCGAAUCCUUCCGCCCCAGCAA
Molecule: transfer RNA, 75 nt
Filed under: bacterium
Lineage: Bacteria
Also listed under: 1 other name
Description: tRNA-Gln
Rfam family: tRNA
About the family: Transfer RNA (tRNA) molecules are approximately 80 nucleotides in length. Their secondary structure includes four short double-helical elements and three loops (D, anti-codon, and T loops). Further hydrogen bonds mediate the characteristic L-shaped molecular structure. tRNAs have two regions of fundamental functional importance: the anti-codon, which is responsible for specific mRNA codon recognition, and the 3' end, to which the tRNAs corresponding amino acid is attached (by aminoacyl-tRNA synthetases). tRNAs cope with the degeneracy of the genetic code in two manners: having more than one tRNA (with a specific anti-codon) for a particular amino acid; and 'wobble' base-pairing, i.e. permitting non-standard base-pairing at the 3rd anti-codon position.
Source: RNAcentral